RNA transcript from Daphnia magna, 4729 nucleotides. RefSeq lists it as uncharacterized. The transcript has 17 exons. NCBI's taxonomy places the organism in Eukaryota, Metazoa, Arthropoda, Branchiopoda, Diplostraca, Daphniidae. The record is from RefSeq and is a predicted model, not a curated record.
UCGAUCGCUACUGUACAGUCAAUGGCGGCAUGGCGGCAACGCGCAUUGGAAGUUGGAAGUUGAUGCAUGUGCGACUUGAUGUGGCGUUGCAUGUGGGAGGCCCCGUCGGUAAUGUUCGCAGACUGGUCAUUUGAUGAUACGUGUGCACAGUAGUAGUGCUUGGGUGCCUCAAGAGGGAAUCGCAGAGCAUAACCACCCAUAGAGCUAAAAGUCAUGGAAGAUUUUUAAAAUUGUUAUUUGAUUUUGUGUUGUUACAGCAGUAGUAUGUCCUUCAACAAUCUGUUAUGUCUAACCAUGGAAUGAGUCGCAUGUGACUAAGUCAACCAAACGGGGCAACAACAAUUAGUCAGCAAUGGAAUUAGUCAGUGGAGAACAACAUUCAUUCCUGAGCAUGAUUGAAAUUUGCCAUGUUUUCAGGCCAACUGGAAGGAUUUUUCUUUUUCACAGAACUUUACCAUUUUCAUGGUAUACUUAAUUGCUUGUCAGUGGAUUGUCACUUGGUAUCGUUUGAAUGGUACAGUAUAUUUGCACAUUAUUUCUUUUAGUUUUUGUUUAUAAUAUGUAUAAACAAGCUUGAAAUAACAAACCAACAGUAUUUUUAGUUUGGCUUACGCAUGCAGCUCUAUGACAUGUUGAUGUUAGCUAAAAUGUUAUUAAUCAUAGGACUAGGUAGUAUGAAAUGAAAUAUCUUCUCUUGGAAGUUUGUGUUUAUGGAUCUGUUUGAGAUGACUCUUGAGGCAGGAAGCUUUUCCUGCUUCUUACGAAAAGGGGCAUUGGAUGCCUUAAUAUCUAAUACCAACCAAGUAUCAUUGCAAAGAUAGGUAAAAGAUAUAUCAAUAUAGAUUAUACUCUGAGUGAUGGUGACAUGGCAAAAAGAGAGAGCUGUAUGAAUAUUUGCUGCAUCAUUUACUUCUAUUAUUUAUAUUUUCAAGGUAUCUUACUGACUUCUAUUGGUUUUAUUUGUGGAAAGAAUAUCUUGAGUGGGAGAAUUGAAUCACAAUUGACUAGAUGUUUUACUAUAUUAAAUUAGUUUAUCACAAAGAAUUUUUUACUCAUUCAUGUUCUGUUUCUGUAAUGUAGGUGGAAUAAUCGCAAUGUCGUGGUAGUAAUUCGCGAGAGAUAUGCCAAUAGGGUUUCGCUGUUUUCAAUUCACAAUAGUAAUGGAUUCGAAGAGGAUAUUGAUGGAGUUUUGGUAUAAAAAAGUAUAAGUAUAUGUUCCGGCGGAAGGGCAACCGAAGAGUUUCGGAUCCUUUUACUAUCGCACAUGUUAUGGUAUUUUUACAAAAUCCUUGAUGUGCUUAUCUGGACCCCCUUGAUUUCUGUGGCCCCGUUUCCCCUUGACUUAUAUUAUUUUCUUUAACCCUUUAGUGUGUGUAAAACUAAAGGCUAAAAGAAGAAUGAUUCAAAAAUUGUGGGAGAGAAUCAUCAAAGAAUCAUACUCGUUUAGGUAAUCCAAGGAAAUAAGAAAGAGUAUUAACUCGGCGUAGUCUUCGAUUCCGUCUUUUUAAAAGCUGUUUUUUCUGUGCGUGGAACUAUUUUGGUCGAGACGUUAUGGUUGUCUUAAAGGCACUGAAGGUUGCAUUAGAUCCCAAACAAAAAGGGAACGCUGAAAAUCGAUUGCGAUGGGAAUUAGUGGCAAUGUUACUGUGUAGAUAACUUCAGAAAGUGUGACUCCAGCUGAUGUAAACCGCACCAGCUCUGCUAUUACCAAGUCUGUCUCACUUUUGCCGCCUAGCAGGAAAAGGUUGUGAGAGUAGCAGAAGAAUUGGAAAUUGCAGUAAACCCGGUUUUGAAAGAAGCCAAUCUUUCCGAUGAUAUGGGAGCCCAGCCUGUGGAAACAAAAACCCUAUGUUUCAGAUAGAAAGACAAAAGGAACACAUCGUUCAUAAGCUACUUCUGAGGACCACUGUCACCGAAAGAAAAAUCACAUCGCUUAUAGACUCGGAAGGUGACAGCGAGACCCAAAAAUUUGCAACAACGAAGCAAGUCCUCCACUGUUACAGACCGCAAUGUGUAAAUGCGUCACAUCCGGGAAAUUAAUACUGCAGUAACCAGAGCGGUUAAAAAAAUGGCACCAACUCCUACAUAUAAGAUUUUGCCGCAACGCAUCCAAGAAUGGGGCUUAACAACUUGCAGGGCUUCGGUCCCAACUAAGAUUACGCAGCAGAUGCUCUUAAUAUACGACCCAGCAAUCUUUACUUGCGGUCUUCCAGUGGCGGGAAUUUGUUAUGCUUUUAUGCACGCAAUUGCUCAACAAGGAAUUAGGUAACCAAUUCUGUUGUAUAUAAAAUUUUUAUUUCUGUUCUGUUGAGGUGGAAUGAUGAAGAGAAAAGAUUUUCGCGAAGAUGGGCAAUGUGAGAUCCAAGAAGAAAAGGAGUGCCCAUUGUUUAAAGGGUCAGAGACUCGGCAACUGGUAUUGCUGACCCGUGGUGACAGCGUCGAAUAGAUUGAAGAAGGGUUGCGUUGCGUCGCAAAAUAUUCGCGUCAUAUUAUUUCCGUCAUUGCUGAUACUGAACGCCAUCUUUACGGAGUCCAAUUCCAUCCUGAAGUUGAUUUUACUGAAAACGGACGAAAAAUGGUGCAUAACUUCUUGUUCGACAUCUGUGGAUUGCAAGGAGUUUCCACAUCGGAGAAAUGCGAGCAGCAGUGUAUCCAUACGUCCGGCUUACGGUCGGACGUAAUAAGAUCGUGCUCAUGCUGGUAAGUGGCGGAUUCGAUCUCCGCCGUUUGUGCUGCUCUUCUCCAUAAAGCACUUCUACAGAGUGACGAACAUCCAAAUCGAUAACGGUUUCCUGCGUAAAGACGAAUCCGAGCAAGUCGUCACUAGUUUACAGUAACUCAAGCUCGAUCUUCGGGUAACUUGAGAUACUUUUCUGGACCAUUCAGCUCUUCUUCCUGCAAUUCCUGAUACCCAUUUGCCCCAAGAGUUACGUAAAAAAUGGGUACAUUUUUAAACAGAUCUUGCUGUAACCAUGGAUAGUUGGAUACAGCUAAUUAGGUUGUAGAUAAGAUGGUUGAAGCCGUCUUAUCAUUGCUUAGGCAAAUGAUCUCCGCCACUCUUUACAGGACACGGAUGCGGAAUUGUAUCACUGACCAGAUUUAGAUGGUAUAUAUUAUAAUAGUGGAGUCAAUAUAGACUUUUGAAAUUGAAAAAUUAAUCGGCUUUGUCGUCUCGUGAAAAUCUCUUAAACUCGCUUCUUAGGAAAAAUUCACGUGAUGACUUGUUGAGUAUUCCUUAAUAUACAUGCACACUUGUCGGAAAUAAUGGGUGCAUUUGGUUUUCGUGGAACAAAUUAAACAUUGUUAAUGUGCAGCUAGGUGGGUUGUUAUUGCUCUCCAAAGGCUAUUCAAGGCGUUAUGCCAUUUCCUGAGAUUAAACAUUCAGGAAAUGUAAAUGUUCGCAAAUUGUUAAGAUCUAUUCAGAGUGGUACCACAAAGUAUGACUGUAGGAAAGGGUACGUCGGCUUCUAAAAGUGAAGAACAACUCUGAAGUCUUUGGUAAGAGGAAGAGGUACUGCUAAUUGAAGCGUCAGAUGACGGUUUUGAGAAGGGACUCUUUCCUUUGCCCAAUGAAUCUAUGCUUGGAACUGGCAGGUGGCGUUUAGCAGUGGCACCCAAUCUUUAUUCUUACAACCCAGAGGUGCUUUUCACUUUUCAGUGGAAUUGAUUGAUGAUACUUGUUGGUUAAUCCAUGAAGAAUACCAAUACAUGGAUAAGUGGAAGGUAGUAAAAGUAUGAAACUGUAAUUCCUCGUGGCAUUUUAAAUCACGCAUACGCGGCAGUUCGUGAGCAGACGAACCAUUGAAAGGUCCUUGCGCAGUCUAGCUGCAUCCAUCCAGAUACUAGUAGAACCGAAAACAUUGUUUUGACAAGUACUGUCAUAUUUCGGUUGCAGCUUUUCACUAAAUACCAGGCUGAUCCUACGAGCUACGGUAGUUUUACCUACAAAUGUUUAGCGUUUCGUGCUGCAACUAGAGUUGAUAUUCCAGGAUGUUAUGCCUAAAUUUGGAAUUCAGCUAUCAGAGAUUAGCAAAAUUGAAGCAGAAACUCUAGAUGGCGUUGAUGUGCGUUUAUGAUGAAGAUCAGGAGUGACAAGUUAAAUGGGUGUGUUACGUUACCCUGCUUUGUGUUUCAAAAGAUUUUUCGUCAAAAAAUAUUGCUUUUUUGUAGGUGGUGGUGUUUCGCCUUGUCAGUUAUGCCAGCUGCUGAACCAGCAGCCUGGAUUUCUGCUAUCAAUGUACCACAAGAGAUCUUGACACUUUAAGAAGGCCACUAUUGCUUACAUGAAGAUCACCAUCCAGUUCAAUCAACGACAGAGUCUUCUUCUACUUUGUGUUGCUAAUCAUCAGCCCUCAGCAUCCCAGGUAUCCAGAUUUCCAAGUUUCUCUGAUUAGCCAACCAUCAUCCAUACCCUUCAGCUCUUCAGUGUGGCUUCUCUUCCUCUCUUCCUAGUCUGCUGAAUGCCAACAUUGAAUAAGGUUCCUCGUCAUUGCCUUUCCAUGCCAGCUCACAUGGAUGGGCUUUAACAAAAUCUCCAUUUUUUGGACCGCAAAUAUUCAUCUUCCCUCGGUACAACACUGCCGUUUUGACAAUUUCGGUAGUUUCGCCCCCAGUGAACCACACGGAACUACAUUUUCUUCGUCUUCCUGUUGUUGUCUACGACUUCACCUCAUCGUUGUCUUUGUUGACGUCUUCGCCUUCAUUUUCGUCUCGUCGUCUUGGUCGUCUU